CACACCAUGGCAACCAUUGGAUGAAGACCUCGUCUCCAGAGGACUCCUGUUAACACCAGACGUAUAAUGGGAGUGACACAGUGAUCUGCUGGCACUCUUGAAGACAUCAGCUUGGUCAAGAAUGUUGGCAGAGGCGCCUCAAGAAACACCUGCCUUCCACUCAUGAGCUGAAAUGUCAUUGCUGAAAGCGAGGCAGAUGAGUGGAAGUGGAAAGACCUGGGGCUGUGGGCGUCCUCGUGACCAGCCUGGCAAGGCCCACGCCUGCCCCAUGGAGACUCUGGGGCAGCCUUUGCAGAAGCAAACACUAUCAUCAGGUUUGCAUGAGUUCUGCUCCCUUGUUUUCUCUGCCUCUCGACUACCCACUUUAUUUCAGCCCUGCGGUGAAUUAUAUGUUUGGAGCAGAAGUAGGGGAGAACUCAGCCCCUUAGGAGUCAUGAGACUGUAAGAGGAUGCAUACUGCAGGGUACUUUUUCAGCUGAGAAACAGAAAACAUGGUCUGCUUUUUAAAUCUUACAAACAUACAGGUAAAGUCAACACGUACUUGUUGAUGUGGGGCUUUUGUAACCCAGCAACGUGUAGCAGCAAUCUGCCAGGAUACGCUGAAGCCCCAAUCCUGGGGAGCCACGCGCCAGCCAAGCGAAGAGCGGCUCCCUCUCCACGUCUCGACGUUAAUUCCUCCUUGGUGACACCUGCUUGGUAGAGUAAGGAAAAGGCCUGGAUUUUGCUAAUUUUAUUGUUUCUUAGUUACUAAACAGAAUGAGAUGUAGUCUCUGAAUAAGGGCCUGCCCCGGCUUUGCAGGAACUACAUGUGAAACCCAGGGCCCUGUGCUAAAAAAUGUCCAGCUUGUUUCUCAUCAAGUCACCUUACCUAUCUCAGCACCUGCACAGGCAACGGGACUGCCUGGACAUGCCCACCACUGUUAGGUCAGGUGUCCCUGAAAAGCUCCAUCAAAACACUUUGAAAGAGUGAACACAGCUUCCAAAACUCACACGCCGUUAUGAGCCAUGAGAGAAACUGCUUCCGUUUGACUAACGAGCAACGGCCCGUGCUCUUUUUGUUCCCAUUGCCAACAUUUGCCCCACCUGAGACUUGAGUUACAAACGCCACCACAGCGGUCUUAACAUCUGGCUUCCAAGGGGUCAAACAAUGCAGCCCAAAGUAUGAAAGAACUCUGAACAGUGCAGGGAGAGUAGGAGGCCAAAUGGGACCUCCUGCUGGGCAACCAGCUGUCUUCUUGAAACUCCUCCUGAAGCUGCAGCCAGCAGAGCAGCACAUCUCUGCGUGUGAGGACACCUCCCUCUCCACCUCCCUUUCCUUCUCUCUCACUCUCACUGCCUCGAAUUUGUACCUCCCGAAUAAAACAUCGGCACUAAAUCUUUGCCUCAUU
This is a long non-coding RNA of Equus caballus (horse), 1388 nucleotides long. RefSeq lists it as uncharacterized. The record is from RefSeq and is a predicted model, not a curated record. Lineage: Eukaryota; Metazoa; Chordata; Mammalia; Perissodactyla; Equidae.